This 424-nucleotide ribosomal RNA is filed under the name uncultured bacterium. RNAcentral describes it as "bacterial SSU rRNA". It matches the Rfam family "Bacterial small subunit ribosomal RNA", at positions 354 to 796 of the family's 1533-position model. The record is from RNAcentral.
GUGGGGAAUAUUGCACAAUGGGCGAAAGCCUGAUGCAGCAACGCCGCGUGAGCGAUGAAGGUCUUCGGAUCGUAAAGCUCUGUCCUUGGGGAAGAUAAUGACGGUACCCUUGGAGGAAGCCCCGGCUAACUACGUGCCAGCAGCCGCGGUAAUACGUAGGGGGCAAGCGUUAUCCGGAAUUAUUGGGCGUAAAGAGUGCGUAGGUGGUUACCUAAGCAGGGGGUGAAAGGCUAUGGCUUAACCAUAGUCAGCCCCCUGAACUGGGCUACUUGAGUGCAGGAGAGGAAAGCGGAAUUCCUAGUGUAGCGGUGAAAUGCGUAGAUAUUAGGAGGAACACCAGUGGCGAAGGCGGCUUUCUGGACUGUUACUGACACUGAGGCACGAAAGUGUGGGGAGCAAACAGGAUUAGAUACCCGGGUAGUCC